This is a long non-coding RNA of Cyprinus carpio (common carp), 1315 nucleotides long. RefSeq lists it as uncharacterized. NCBI's taxonomy places the organism in Eukaryota, Metazoa, Chordata, Actinopteri, Cypriniformes, Cyprinidae. The record is from RefSeq and is a predicted model, not a curated record. The transcript has 4 exons.
UCCACUGGACAGCUCCCAUGUUAUGACCUCUGCGGUCUCUAUGUGGAGUGUGCCGAUCCCACCGGCUGUGGCCUUGGCUUUGACAGCUAUGCAUGGGAUUACCAGGCCUGCACUGAGAUCGAGAUGUGCUACGAGAGUAACAAUGUGACGGGUAUGUUCCCGCCCAUGACAUUCAGCAAGCAGCAGAGGGAACAGUUCUGCUCAAAGAGAUGGGGGGUGGUGGCUGAAGACCCAGUUCUGGGAUGAUGGUAGGCUGUAACUACCUAACAGUGCCUGGGUCUGUAGCUUUCUUAAAAAAAAAAAAAAGUUUUACCUCAUGAUUAUACAUCAGCUUCCACUUGCCUUUGGUCCUUUUAAUAUUCAUUGGAUGUUUUUAGUGAAAUGAGACCUCAAUGUUACAACCAUUUGAACUUUCUUUUCUAGAUCUCACCACCGCAAGCAAUAUAUUUUCCAUUGGUGAUCUUGUUCCUUGGGCUAAUGGAGGGAUCAGGAAGUCACUCAGUCCAUCACUGAUUGCAAUCAACAUACCAGAGGGAGCUCAUCAUCUGGAUUUAAGGGAGUCUAACCCUGCUGAUCCUGAGUCUGUGAUUAUGGCUUGGAAGGAGGAGUCUGAAAUCAGUGCUCAAUGGGUGAAAGCAGCAAGGAAGAAGUCAUUAUGAGUUCAUUUUUGUGUACAGUUUAUUUCAACAUUGUAAAAUAUUGAAUAAAUCCAUUUAUUUUUCAUUCCAUUUAUCACAGAAAUGGACAUUUAAAAGAAAUAUGAAUUUGUCAAAAAAACAACAACAAAAAAAAACAUACAAACUCACUCUUAUGUCUAAAUCAUCUCUUACAAAUUUCCAAAUUGAAUUGGGGUACUUGUAUUAGUAAAUAUGAUUAUGUACAGCUGUACUACAUAUUACUUGUCUUAUCAUUCCCGUUUUAGAAUAUUCUUUGAAAUUCAUGGCACAUCUUUGGUGUGUAUGAAUGAUUCAAAAUGAUGUUGAUUUGUCAAUAUGCAUGAGGCAGCUGAUAAUUUAAGACAUUUGCACAACAAUUGAGAGUGAGGCAUGAAAAGCCCUUCAUUUUAAAUCUGAGAUACAUAAGUUCAUUUGACAGUGUAGCUGUCUUCAGUUUCUCACACAAUUAGAGAGAAAAAAGUACACCCAGAAUGUGUGUACAGAUAGGAAGUUAAUCUAACACUUCCACACUGGAAUAUAAAUAAUCACAAAAGUAUUUAUUUACAAUAAAACAAAUCACAGAUAGCUUCACAACGAAACGAGAUGUUUAAAAUAGAUUGAUUUCUCAUAUAAACUUGAUUCUCUGGAUUGAAAAUAGA